This 88-nucleotide small nucleolar RNA is filed under the name Neurospora tetrasperma FGSC 2509. Lineage: Eukaryota; Fungi; Ascomycota; Sordariomycetes; Sordariales; Sordariaceae. The record is from RNAcentral.
CCAUGAUGAUCCCUUUAGAUGACGAGUCUUAUCGGGGAUUCCCCAUGCAGACAACCUUUUUUUUAAUACCAUUCAUGCAUUUCUGAAA